This 799-nucleotide ribosomal RNA is filed under the name Staphylococcus aureus. Its description in RNAcentral is "partial 23S ribosomal RNA". It matches the Rfam family "Bacterial large subunit ribosomal RNA", at positions 451 to 1257 of the family's 2925-position model. The record is from RNAcentral. Lineage: Bacteria; Bacillati; Bacillota; Bacilli; Caryophanales; Staphylococcaceae.
GACCAUCUCCUAAGGCUAAAUACUCUCUAGUGACCGAUAGUGAACCAGUACCGUGAGGGAAAGGUGAAAAGCACCCCGGAAGGGGAGUGAAAUAGAACCUGAAACCGUGUGCUUACAAGUAGUCAGAGCCCGUUAAUGGGUGAUGGCGUGCCUUUUGUAGAAUGAACCGGCGAGUUACGAUUUGAUGCAAGGUUAAGCAGUAAAUGUGGAGCCGUAGCGAAAGCGAGUCUGAAUAGGGCGUUUAGUAUUUGGUCGUAGACCCGAAACCAGGUGAUCUACCCUUGGUCAGGUUGAAGUUCAGGUAACACUGAAUGGAGGACCGAACCGACUUACGUUGAAAAGUGAGCGGAUGAACUGAGGGUAGCGGAGAAAUUCCAAUCGAACCUGGAGAUAGCUGGUUCUCUCCGAAAUAGCUUUAGGGCUAGCCUCAAGUGAUGAUUAUUGGAGGUAGAGCACUGUUUGGACGAGGGGCCCCUCUCGGGUUACCGAAUUCAGACAAACUCCGAAUGCCAAUUAAUUUAACUUGGGAGUCAGAACAUGGGUGAUAAGGUCCGUGUUCGAAAGGGAAACAGCCCAGACCACCAGCUAAGGUCCCAAAAUAUAUGUUAAGUGGAAAAGGAUGUGGCGUUGCCCAGACAACUAGGAUGUUGGCUUAGAAGCAGCCAUCAUUUAAAGAGUGCGUAAUAGCUCACUAGUCGAGUGACACUGCGCCGAAAAUGUACCGGGGCUAAACAUAUUACCGAAGCUGUGGAUUGUCCUUUGGACAAUGGUAGGAGAGCGUUCUAAGGGCGUUGAAGCA